RNAcentral lists this long non-coding RNA (7823 nucleotides) under Sus scrofa (pig). RNAcentral describes it as "lncRNA (ENSSSCG00065053827.1)". The record is from RNAcentral. Lineage: Eukaryota; Metazoa; Chordata; Mammalia; Artiodactyla; Suidae.
CAGAUAAGAAAACAAUUUCAAUAUAUUUACGAUAAGUGCUAUGCUGGAGGUAAAAAAGAAAUACAAUUUUAAUGUAUUAAUAUUUUUCCUUCUCCGAUUUAACCAGAGGCACCUGUUUGCCCCAGAGUAGGUUGUGAUCUUCGUAGUAGGAAUGUGACAAGAGAAAAAGAAGACGCUUUGCCCUUUGAGUGUAAAGACCAGCUCUGCACAUGAGAUGAGAGUCUUGAAAAAACAAUGCCUGAAUCUGGUGGCCUUGGACUCACAAGCAGGGUACAGGGUCAGAGGGGAGGUUCCCAUGAGGUAGGAAGAGGGUCCCUCCUCCAGGUCAAAACAGCAGCGGGAAGGCCAAGGUGAAUGUGGCUGCAGACCACAGGCUGCUGGGCGCUGGUUUCGAAGGCCAGUGUGGCCUGAGCCCUGGGCUAGAGCCUGCAAACCAGGUGGGACGGCUGUUCAGGGGACACAGGACAGGCAGCCAGGAACCAGCUCAGCCGCAUGCCUUAGAGGCAGGAGCCUGGCGCCUGUCUGGGACGGAGGAGGGAGAAGGAGCCCCCACUGGGAACCCAAACCUGGAUGUACCUGAACUCUUCUUGAUGUGUCUGAGUUAACUCAGAAGGGGUUUUUGAAGCCUGAAGCGACUGAGUUAGCUUUAAUUAGCAAGUUCGUGGUGUUUAAGGGCUUUUUCUUUUAUCUGCCCUUAGCAGGAGUGGGGGCUUGUGAGCAAGACAGCAUCAAUUAUAGAUCAUUUUCAGCUGCAUUUUGAAGCGCCUUUGCUUACAGCAGGCAGAUUUUAUCCCUUGAGGGAGGCGUGUGUGGGCUGCUGAGGAGCCAGAGGGCGGAAAAGGGGGUGUGGAGGGGGGCCACGGGCUGGCAUCUAGGGCAGUUACAGCAUGCCACACUCUGAAGGGCCCCGUACUUAGGGUUCUGACAUGCUUAAUAAUUUUGCCUUUGAAUUUGUGCUUUGAAAGUGAAGUCUGAUGGGACAGUGGAAGGCGGGGGGACUUGGGGGGCCCUGCCUCACACCACCUCCCAGGACUAGGGACAAGGCAGUUCUCAACCCACCUCUUCCCAGGCUCGCCCCCCACACCCCACAAGCCCGCUGCAGCCCUCAGCCCAGGCCAGCGACUGGGCGUUAGCGGGGUGGGGGGGGCGGUUGGCAGAGAGGAGUGUGUUGCUGGCACCCUCUGCUCCUGGCAGGGACCGUAGAGCAGAUGCAUGGCUGCUGUCCUGGCCCCAGGCUGGCUGGACCACGGCGUGUUGAGCAGGUGACUUUUAGGGGGCCUUCUCCAGGCACCAAAGCUGCAUUCCCUUGGGGUUCCCCAGCACCAUGAGGUGGGGUGGCAGGCCUGUGGGAAGGGAGAACUGGCUUCCUGCCCCCUGCCAGGCCACUGUGGUCCAGUAGCCAGUGGGAACAGGGCCCUGGAGGGCUCCACAGAUCUGCACCUUCCCUUUGAAUGUCCUCAUGCCCACGACAUUAAGUAGCAAAUGACAAACAUGACAGGCCUCAGAAAAAGGAAAAACAUGUGUACCUUAGCAUCUUUUAUUUCUUUUGUGGCCACAGCCAGAGCAUAUGGAAGUUCCCAGGCCAGGGAUUGAAUUCGAGCUAUAGCUGCGACCUACAGCACAGCACAGCUGCAGCAACGCCAGAUCCUUAACCCAGGAUGUACCAACACUGCCUUUAUCUGUGGAGGCACAGAGGAUGCAGAUGGAGUAGGGGGUGGGGUUAGGAUCUGAACUCAGACAGAAAAAAACAGUAGUAGAAUGAGAAAACAAAGGGCUUGGAAGAGCCCCUCCGGCCCCGCGGGUUAAGGAUAUGUUCUUGCCACAGACGUGGUGCAGGUCCACACUGUGGCACGAGUUCAAUUCCUGGCCCAGGAACUUCCACACGCCAUUGGUAUGGCCAAAAACAAAAACAAAAACAAAAAUUAAAAAAAAAAAAGGUGUCUCCCCGAAUACCUGAGAUGGCACAUGCUGGAAACUUGAAUGCAGUGGCCACACACACAUUUAACCUGCUGGAAAGGAUUUUACACACAAAGAGGAGACACUGACUCAGUGUGAUGGUGACCGUGCACCCAGUUUGGAGAGCUUCCGUGAGGUCGGGGGUCCCCUUGUGUUGGAGAAGGGCGGAGAGGGCGCUUGGGACAGAGGACAAUAGGGUGGGACUGGGAGAUGUCAGACAUUUGGUGGCGAAGAUACAUCUGAAAGCCUGAAUCAGGACCUUAGGAUUCCAAUGCAACAGAACCCACGGGAGCGGCCCGUGUCUCCACCACACGACACCCCCAGACCCCAGCUCUAAGACCAGUCACAGAAAGACAUCGUGCUAAACCUGGUUGGUUAAAAGCCAGGGUUGGAUUUUAAAUUUUUGCGGGGACCAUGCCCAAGGCGUUUGGAAGUUCCCAGGCCAGGAAUUGAACCUGCCUUAUAGAAGUUAUAAUGCCAGGUCCUUAACCCACUGAUCCACGAGAGAACUCCUAGAUUUAAAUGUUUAACAAAAACGUUAUGCACUUGGCUGUAGCUGAUUUAUUUGAAGGUUACCUUAAUUUCUUUCAGUCCAUGGGGGCCCAAUUCAAUUUUCAAGGUUGAUUACGUCCUCCCUCCCUCGCUGCGACAGCCACCGCACACAGCCCCCUCCUUCUUCUUCUGACCCCACGGCCCCUCCCUGCAUUUCUCCUCCGGUGGCACCUGGAGCCUUCCGUGUUUCUAUCCACCUGUGGUUUUUGACUGUUACAGCCUUUUCUAGGAACAGAUAAAGAUCUGCCCUACCCAGAAUCUGCAGCCUCCCCAGCCUGAAGCGUGCUGGGCCUGGGGGGUGGGGAGCCGUCCUAGUUUCACCACCUCCGGGCAAAAGCGGGCCUGGAGGAGGCCGGUGGGGCCCUUCCCAAGGCCUUGGCCACCCAUUCUCCACCAGAGUAGAGGUCACACUUUUAAGAAACUCUCUGUGGGGACUUCCCAUUGUGGCUCAGGGGUAACGAACCCAACUAGUAUCCAUGAGGACGAGGGUUCGAUCCCUGGCCUCUCUCAGUGGGUUAAGGAUCUGAGGUUGCCGUGAGCUGCGGUGUAGGUCGCAGACGAAGCUUGCUGUGGCUGUGGUGUAGGCCAGCAGCUGUAGCUCCGAUUUGACCCCUAGCCACCAAUGCAGGAUCUGAGCCACGUCUGUGACCUACACCACAGCUCAUGGCAACCCCAGAUCCUUAACCCACUGAGGGAGCCCAAGGAUCAAACCAACAACCUCAUGGUUCCUAGUCAGAUUUGCUCCCGUUGUGCCACAACGGGAACUCCUAAAUAUUCUUUUAAAACUUAGUUUUGGAGUUCCUGUGAUGGCUCAGCGAUAACGAAACUGACUAGUAUCCAUGAGGAUGUGGGUUCGAUCCCCGGCUUCGCUCAGUGGGUUAAGGAUCUAGGAUUACCAUGGUCCCUGGGAUCCCAGGAGCUUUACUGGCCUCCUGCCUCUGCCCUCUUGCCCUGAGGUUUAGCUCUCACCACGCCAGCUCGGGCAAGUCUUUAUUUAUUUAUGCGCCAUGCCCAUGGCAUGCAGAAAUUCCCAGGAAUUGAACCCAGGCCAUGGCAGUAAUCAGAGUCACAGCAGUGACAAUGCCAGAUCCUUAACCCACUGAGCCACCAGGGAACUCCAGGACAAUCCUUUUAAAACAUACACCCAAUCGUAGUUUUCUGCUCAAAAUCCUCCCACGAUUUUCUGCCUCCCCCAGAGUAAAAGCCAUCGUUCUCACGGUGACCAGCAAGGCGGCACAAAGCCCACCCUUUCCUCUCAGACUCCUCUCUGCUUCCUCCUUCAUCCACAGUAAUCCCUGUCCUCGCCGCCCAGGGACCCUUUGCUGAAAGGUGACGGGGUUUAUGCCUGUUGGUCAGGCGUGGUUACUAACAGCGCCCCUUUCACUCUCAGAGGCCCUGGGUCGGAUGAUGAGUUAGACAGCUGCGCGGGCCGCUCACCUGCCGUUGUGUUUCCCCUCCUUGGCCCGACCUGCCGCUGCCCGAUGGCACGGCUGCCUUCCCUCACCCGCUUAGGGUCUUUGCCCACCUGUCAUAUUCUGUGACCUUGCAAUUGACACGGCACACUCCCCCAAUGCCUGCUUCCAUCCUCCUGGAUCUGCUUUUCCUCCCGAGACGCUCUCACCGUACUGGGGCUUUUUAGGGCCGCACCUGCAGCAUAUGGAAGUUCCCAGGCUAGGAGUCGAAUCAGAGUUGCAGCUGCCUGCUUGUGCCACAGCGAUGCCAGAUCUGAGCCACAUCUGCGACCUACACCGCAGCUUGUGGCAACACCAUAUCCUUAACCCCCUGAGUGAGGCCAGGGAGUGAACCCACAUCCUCAUGUGGUGUCAGUCGGGUUCUUCACUUGCUGAGCCACAGCGGGAACUCCCUCAACAUACUGUGACUUUCCCCACUUGUUUAUUGUGUCUUCCCACCCAAGGCAGGCUCUGUGAGGGCAGGGACUUUUUUGGGGUUUUGUGUUUUGGGGCCACACCUGUGGCAUAUGGACAUUCCCAGCCUAGGGGUCUAAUCAGAGCUACAGCAGCCACACGGUAUCCAAGCCACACCUGCGACCUACACCACAGCUCUCGGCAACUCCCAAUCCCUAACCCAAUGAUCUGGGCCAGGGAUGGAACCCACAUCCUCAUGGGUAAUAGUCGCAUUUGUUUCUGCAGAGCGACAAUGGGAACUCCAGGGCAGGAACUUUUAACGUCUUGUUCCCUACUCUGUUCCUCAUACCUCAUACCCCAAACAGUGCUCAGCAUGUGGAGGUGCCCAAAGAGCAACCAGGUGACGGCAGAGGUGCCACUUUGGAUAAGGUGGUCUCAGAGGAGGCUUCUCUGAGGGGCUGUCCCUGAACUUAAGGUCUAUAUUGCUGCCUACUGCUGCUGUAAUAAAGCACUAUAAACAUAGCGGCUUAAAAUAACACAGAUUUAUUAUCUGACAGUUCUGGGGGUUAGGAGUCCAAUAUGCAUCUCACUGAGCUAAAACCAAAGUGCUGGCAGAGCUGCAUUCCUCUCUGGAGGCUUCAGGGGAGAAACAUCUUUGGCUUUUCCAGCUUCUGGGGGUCACCCACAUCCCGUGGCUCGUGGCACCUGCCUCCCUUUUCACGAUGUCACAUCUCUCUGUUCCGAAUUCUCUGCCUUUCUCGUCCCCAUUUAAGGACCCAGAUAACCAAGGGUAAUCUCAUUAAAUGAGCUGAUUAGCAAACAUAAUUCCAUCUGCAACCUUAACCCCCCUUGCAUGGAAUAUAAUAUAUUCACAGGUUCCCAGGAUUGGCACGUGGAUAUGUUGGGGAGGGGGGCAUUAGUCUGCCUCCCACAGUGGGGUGGUACUUUGACAGGGCGGUCAGGAAAGACCUUUCCAAAGAGUUGGGGUUGAAGGCAAGCUCUGAAGAGCAAGAAGGAGCCAACCAUGGGAAGAGUCAGAAGAGCUUUUCAGGCACAGGGAGUAGCAUGUGCAAAGGCCCUGUGGCAGGGAGGUGCUUGAGUAUCAAGAAGCAGAAGAUCGCCCAGAGAGGCUGCAGUAUAUAGAGCUGGGGGAGAGUGGUUCCAGGUGGGGCUGAGGAAGGAGUCAGGAAUCAGAUCGUGCAGAUGCUGUGGCGUUCUCUUCAGUCUAGGCCGCGUACGUGUCCUGUGCCAUUGGUUGUGUGUGUGAGGCAGGUGGAUUUUAAUUAUAUGUGAUUCUUGUGGGUUUGCUCUACGAAGCUGCUUCUGAGAUCUGACAGCAUAAAGCAGAUCAUUGCUCUUUGUUGAUAAUGCCACCUUUUCAGCUUGCUGAAUGGACUGAUUCACCCUUCAAAGAGAAGACAUUUAUUCUCUCACAGUUCUGAAAUCAAGGUGUCAGUUAGACCAGGCUCCCUCUGAAGCCUCCAGGGGAGAAUCCUACCUCAUCUCUUCCAGCUUCUGGUGAUUCCCAGAUAUGACGGACUGAGAAAGCCUGUGUCCCCCCAAAUUCAAAUGCUGAAGCCCUAACCCCCAAUGUGAUGGUAUUAGCAUAUGAGUCCUUUGGGAAGUAAUCAAGUUUAGAUGAGGUCAUGAGGCUGGAGCCCCCAUCAAAGGAUUAGUGCCCUUAUAAGAUGAAAAACAGGAGUUGCCGUCGUGGCUCAGUGGUUAAUGAAUCUGACUAGGAACCAUGAGGUUGUGGGUUCGAUCCCUGGCCUUGCUCAGUGGGUUAAGGAUCCGGCGUUGCCAUGAACUGUGGUGUAGGUUGCAGACGCGGCUCGGAUCCUGCAUUGCUGUGGCUCUGCACAGGCCAGCGGCUACAUCUCCAAUUGGACCCCCUAGCCACAGCUACCCUGAGCUGCCAGCUGCCUUCGGGCCUCAGUGCAAAGGAGGCUCCGGGCCGGCAGAGCUGAGGGACACUGGAGGCAGAAUACUGUUCUCCACCUUCCCCUGCUGAACCCUCACUGCAGCGUCCUGUGAAUCCGAUGGCCUUAGAACCCAAGGAGGCCACUGGCCAUACUCCAUUUGGAAAAGGAGGAAAUUGGGGCCCUGGAGGUUUACCGGACUUCCUCAAAGCCACAGCAGCAAAUACGUGAUACAAGGAACCCUCUGGAAUCACACCUUCACUUUCUUCCCAAUCUCCCACCAGCUGGUCUGUAAGAUGACAGCAGCUACACGUGGAGCUUGGCACAGCCAAGGUUCCCACCUCCAGCCAGGUCAUGUUCUAGAAAAUGUGCCAGCUACACCGGGCCACACAGGGCCACAGCUAAGGGAUGUGAGCUGUCAUUGCCCGUGGGGUGGGGAGACCUUACCAGAUGCUUAAGCCCUGUUGCACCCCUUCAAAUACGCUGCUGGCUCUGCCUCUGGCGCCCAGCCUCAGGCGCGUCCCAUCUUUUUGGCCUCCUAAACUUGCAAAUGCCCUGCGCGAUAAAUGCCCCCACGGGCAAAGCCCGGAUUUGCGCAGCAGGUGGACGCGGAACGCUCGGAGACCUAUAAUAGUCGGCGCUUUGCAACAAGCACUUUUUCUUCCUACUCAUUAUUGCCGCUUCAAGAGGAGAAGGGAGGAACCCUCUGGCACGGUUACAAAGAGACACUUGGACACCUGCCGCGGGAGGCCGCUCGGUCACCGGGAAAGACAAUGCAACGCAUUUUAAAUGUCUCUCCCAACCCCCAUCCCGCCCCGGUGCUCUGUCAAGCCAAGGCUCGGGAGCCCUUGGAGAAAUCACUUUACAAAGAAAGAAAGUGAGACUCCGUGUCUCUGGCCCCGCGGUGGGAGCCACGUGCGCCCCCUCGGUUCAGGCCCCACCCACGGUCCGUCGCCGCCGCCGCCCGAGGUCGCAGAGCCGGGGCCGCCCCUGCAGGCUCGCAGCGUUUGGGUGGACAGGACGCGCUCCCAAAACGCAGUUGUUCUCCGCGGUGGCUCAAGUCUCUUUGUUUUGAAGGAGCCUCUCGUCCCACGGGCCCGCCCUCCGUAGAGGAGGCCCCGGAUUGCAAAGUCCCGGAGCUCUGUUCGCUCUUCUGUCUCCACUGGACAGACCCUUAAGGCUCCGCGAACGUUUGGCGCACAGCAGAGGACACGGCCCAGUGGUGACUCCCGCUAAGGCCUGAUCCCUGCUCUGUCUCCAGCGUGAGGUUCCCAGGGGAACACCCAUUUCUUAGGCUUUAAAAAUUCCUCUUGUGGAAGUUCUCUUGUGUCAGCGAGUUAAGCAGCACAGGUUCAAUCCCUGGCCCAGGACCUUCCAUAUGCCUCGGGUUUGGUAAAAUAAUAAUAAUAAUAAUAAUAAUUCUUUCUUCUUGGAAAAAACUUAAAAGUCACCAAAAGGUCCAGCCAGCAGGAACUUGAGAUGGAGAGCUUGAAAUGACUUGCUCUGAACAUAAGGUUAAACCGGCAGAGGC